GGGUGAGUAACGCGUAUCCAACCUGCCCACCACUUGGGGAUAACUUUGCGAAAGUAAGACUAAUACCCAAUGACGUCUCUAGAAGGCAUCUGAAAGAGAUUAAAGAUUUAUCGGUGAUGGAUGGGGAUGCGUCUGAUUAGCUUGUUGGCGGGGUAACGGCCCACCAAGGCAACGAUCAGUAGGGGUUCUGAGAGGAAGGUCCCCCACAUUGGAACUGAGACACGGUCCAAACUCCUACGGGAGGCAGCAGUGAGGAAUAUUGGUCAAUGGACGAGAGUCUGAACCAGCCAAGUAGCGUGCAGGAAGACGGCCCUAUGGGUUGUAAACUGCUUUUAUAAGGGAAUAAAGUGAGUCUCGUGAGACUUUUUGCAUGUACCUUAUGAAUAAGGACCGGCUAAUUCCGUGCCAGCAGCCGCGGUAAUACGGAAGGUCCGGGCGUUAUCCGGAUUUAUUGGGUUUAAAGGGAGCGUAGGCCGGAGAUUAAGCGUGUUGUGAAAUGUAGACGCUCAACGUCUGCACUGCAGCGCGAACUGGUUUCCUUGAGUACGCACAAAGUGGGCGGAAUUCGUGGUGUAGCGGUGAAAUGCUUAGAUAUCACGAAGAACUCCGAUUGCGAAGGCAGCUCACUGGAGCGCAACUGACGCUGAAGCUCGAAAGUGCGGGUAUCGAACAGGAUUAGAUACCCUGGUAGUCCGCACGGUAAACGAUGGAUGCCCGCUGUUGGUCUGAAUAGGUCAGCGGCCAAG
This 746-nucleotide ribosomal RNA is filed under the name uncultured bacterium. RNAcentral describes it as "bacterial SSU rRNA". It matches the Rfam family "Bacterial small subunit ribosomal RNA", at positions 104 to 851 of the family's 1533-position model. The record is from RNAcentral.